Molecule: ribosomal RNA, 495 nt
Filed under: Streptococcus anginosus
Lineage: Bacteria; Bacillati; Bacillota; Bacilli; Lactobacillales; Streptococcaceae
Description: bacterial SSU rRNA
Rfam family: Bacterial small subunit ribosomal RNA
Source: RNAcentral
GACGAACGCUGGCGGCGUGCCUAAUACAUGCAAGUAGGACGCACAGUUUAUACCGUAGCUUGCUACACCAUAGACUGUGAGUUGCGAACGGGUGAGUAACGCGUAGGUAACCUGCCUAUUAGAGGGGGAUAACUAUUGGAAACGAUAGCUAAUACCGCAUAACAGUAUGUAACACAUGUUAGAUGCUUGAAAGAUGCAAUUGCAUCGCUAGUAGAUGGACCUGCGUUGUAUUAGCUAGUAGGUAGGGUAAUGGCCUACCUAGGCGACGAUACAUAGCCGACCUGAGAGGGUGAUCGGCCACACUGGGACUGAGACACGGCCCAGACUCCUACGGGAGGCAGCAGUAGGGAAUCUUCGGCAAUGGGGGGAACCCUGACCGAGCAACGCCGCGUGAGUGAAGAAGGUUUUCGGAUCGUAAAGCUCUGUUGUUAAGGAAGAACGAGUGUGAGAAUGGAAAGUUCAUACUGUGACGGUACUAAACCAGAAAAGGACGGC